AGUGAACGCUGGCGGUAGGCCUAACACAUGCAAGUCGAACGGCAGCACAGUAAGAGCUUGCUCUUACGGGUGGCGAGUGGCGGACGGGUGAGGAAUACAUCGGAAUCUACUUUUUCGUGGGGGAUAACGUAGGGAAACUUACGCUAAUACCGCAUACGACCUACGGGUGAAAGCAGGGGAUCUUCGGACCUUGCGCGAAUGAAUGAGCCGAUGUCGGAUUAGCUAGUUGGCGGGGUAAAGGCCCACCAAGGCGACGAUCCGUAGCUGGUCUGAGAGGAUGAUCAGCCACACUGGAACUGAGACACGGUCCAGGCUCCUACGGGAGGCAGCAGUGGGGAAUAUUGGACAAUGGGCGCAAGCCUGGUCCAGCCAUACCGCGUGUGUGAAGAAGGCCUUCGGGUUGUAAAGCCCUUUUGUUGGGAAAGAAAAGCAGCAGGUUAAUACCCCGCUGUUCUGACGGUACCCAAAGAAUAAGCACCGGCUAACUUCGUG
This 492-nucleotide ribosomal RNA is filed under the name uncultured bacterium. RNAcentral describes it as "partial 16S ribosomal RNA". It matches the Rfam family "Bacterial small subunit ribosomal RNA", at positions 29 to 507 of the family's 1533-position model. The record is from RNAcentral.